GUGCCCGUAGCUCAGUUGGAUAGAGCGUUGGACUCCGACUCCAAAGGCAGUGCGUUCGAAUCGCAUCGGGCAUACCA
Molecule: transfer RNA, 77 nt
Filed under: Oscillospiraceae bacterium
Lineage: Bacteria; Bacillati; Bacillota; Clostridia; Eubacteriales; Oscillospiraceae
Description: tRNA-Arg
Rfam family: tRNA
About the family: Transfer RNA (tRNA) molecules are approximately 80 nucleotides in length.
Source: RNAcentral